GAUUAAGUUAUUAAGGGCGCACGGUGGAUGCCUUGGCACUAGAAGCCGAUGAAGGACGUUACUAACGACGAUAUGCUUUGGGGAGCUGUAAGUAAGCUUUGAUCCAGAGAUUUCCGAAUGGGGAAACCCAGCAUGAGUUAUGUCAUGUUAUCGAUAUGUGAAUACAUAGCAUAUCAGAAGGCACACCCGGAGAACUGAAACAUCUUAGUACCCGGAGGAAGAGAAAGAAAAUUCGAUUCCCUUAGUAGCGGCGAGCGAAACGGGAAGAGCCCAAACCAACAAGCUUGCUUGUUGGGGUUGUAGGACACUCUAUACGGAGUUACAAAGGACGACAUUAGACGAAUCAUCUGGAAAGAUGAAUCAAAGAAGGUAAUAAUCCUGUAGUCGAAAAUGUUGUCUCUCUUGAGUGGAUCCUGAGUACGACGGAGCACGUGAAAUUCCGUCGGAAUCUGGGAGGACCAUCUCCUAAGGCUAAAUACUCUCUAGUGACCGAUAGUGAACCAGUACCGUGAGGGAAAGGUGAAAAGCACCCCGGAAGGGGAGUGAAAUAGAACCUGAAACCGUGUGCUUACAAGUAGUCAGAGCCCGUUAAUGGGUGAUGGCGUGCCUUUUGUAGAAUGAACCGGCGAGUUACGAUUUGAUGCAAGGUUAAGCAGUAAAUGUGGAGCCGUAGCGAAAGCGAGUCUGAAUAGGGCGUUUAGUAUUUGGUCGUAGACCCGAAACCAGGUGAUCUACCCUUGGUCAGGUUGAAGUUCAGGUAACACUGAAUGGAGGAUCGAACCGACUUACGUUGAAAAGUGAGCGGAUGAACUGAGGGUAGCGGAGAAAUUCCAAUCGAACCUGGAGAUAGCUGGUUCUCUCCGAAAUAGCUUUAGGGCUAGCCUCAAGUGAUGAUUAUUGGAGGUAGAGCACUGUUUGGACGAGGGGCCCUCUCGGGUUACCGAAUUCAGACAAACUCCGAAUGCCAAUUAAUUUAACUUGGGAGUCAGAACAUGGGUGAUAAGGUCCGUGUUCGAAAGGGAAACAGCCCAGACCACCAGCUAAGGUCCCAAAAUAUAUGUUAAGUGGAAAAGGAUGUGGCGUUGCCCAGACAACUAGGAUGUUGGCUUAGAAGCAGCCAUCAUUUAAAGAGUGCGUAAUAGCUCACUAGUCGAGUGACACUGCGCCGAAAAUGUACCGGGGCUAAACAUAUUACCGAAGCUGUGGAUUGUCCUUUGGACAAUGGUAGGAGAGCGUUCUAAGGGCGUUGAAGCAUGAUCGUAAGGACAUGUGGAGCGCUUAGAAGUGAGAAUGCCGGUGUGAGUAGCGAAAGACGGGUGAGAAUCCCGUCCACCGAUUGACUAAGGUUUCCAGAGGAAGGCUCGUCCGCUCUGGGUUAGUCGGGUCCUAAGCUGAGGCCGACAGGCGUAGGCGAUGGAUAACAGGUUGAUAUUCCUGUACCACCUAUAAUCGUUUUAAUCGAUGGGGGGACGCAGUAGGAUAGGCGAAGCGUGCGAUUGGAUUGCACGUCUAAGCAGUAAGGCUGAGUAUUAGGCAAAUCCGGUACUCGUUAAGGCUGAGCUGUGAUGGGGAGAAGACAUUGUGUCUUCGAGUCGUUGAUUUCACACUGCCGAGAAAAGCCUCUAGAUAGAAAAUAGGUGCCCGUACCGCAAACCGACACAGGUAGUCAAGAUGAGAAUUCUAAGGUGAGCGAGCGAACUCUCGUUAAGGAACUCGGCAAAAUGACCCCGUAACUUCGGGAGAAGGGGUGCUCUUUAGGGUUAACGCCCAGAAGAGCCGCAGUGAAUAGGCCAAGCGACUGUUUAUCAAAAACACAGGUCUCUGCUAAACCGUAAGGUGAUGUAUAGGGGCUGACGCCUGCCCGGUGCUGGAAGGUUAAGAGGAGUGGUUAGCUUCUGCGAAGCUACGAAUCGAAGCCCCAGUAAACGGCGGCCGUAACUAUAACGGUCCUAAGGUAGCGAAAUUCCUUGUCGGGUAAGUUCCGACCCGCACGAAAGGCGUAACGAUUUGGGCACUGUCUCAACGAGAGACUCGGUGAAAUCAUAGUACCUGUGAAGAUGCAGGUUACCCGCGACAGGACGGAAAGACCCCGUGGAGCUUUACUGUAGCCUGAUAUUGAAAUUCGGCACAGCUUGUACAGGAUAGGUAGGAGCCUUUGAAACGUGAGCGCUAGCUUACGUGGAGGCGCUGGUGGGAUACUACCCUAGCUGUGUUGGCUUUCUAACCCGCACCACUUAUCGUGGUGGGAGACAGUGUCAGGCGGGCAGUUUGACUGGGGCGGUCGCCUCCUAAAAGGUAACGGAGGCGCUCAAAGGUUCCCUCAGAAUGGUUGGAAAUCAUUCAUAGAGUGUAAAGGCAUAAGGGAGCUUGACUGCGAGACCUACAAGUCGAGCAGGGUCGAAAGACGGACUUAGUGAUCCGGUGGUUCCGCAUGGAAGAGCCAUCGCUCAACGGAUAAAAGCUACCCCGGGGAUAACAGGCUUAUCUCCCCCAAGAGUUCACAUCGACGGGGAGGUUUGGCACCUCGAUGUCGGCUCAUCGCAUCCUGGGGCUGUAGUCGGUCCCAAGGGUUGGGCUGUUCGCCCAUUAAAGCGGUACGCGAGCUGGGUUCAGAACGUCGUGAGACAGUUCGGUCCCUAUCCGUCGUGGGCGUAGGAAAUUUGAGAGGAGCUGUCCUUAGUACGAGAGGACCGGGAUGGACAUACCUCUGGUGUACCAGUUGUCGUGCCAACGGCAUAGCUGGGUAGCUAUGUGUGGACGGGAUAAGUGCUGAAAGCAUCUAAGCAUGAAGCCCCCCUCAAGAUGAGAUUUCCCAACUUCGGUUAUAAGAUCCCUCAAAGAUGAUGAGGUUAAUAGGUUCGAGGUGGAAGCAUGGUGACAUGUGGAGCUGACGAAUACUAAUCGAUCGAAGACUUAAUCAA
Molecule: ribosomal RNA, 2921 nt
Filed under: Staphylococcus aureus
Lineage: Bacteria; Bacillati; Bacillota; Bacilli; Caryophanales; Staphylococcaceae
Description: 23S ribosomal RNA
Rfam family: Bacterial large subunit ribosomal RNA
Source: RNAcentral